GUCCAUCUCCCGCACCGAGCUGCUUGACACGAGCCCGCUGAUGUCCAGACGGCGCUUCUGUGGGGGUGAGGUGAGGUGGGAUUAGCUAGUGGAAGUUAGGUUAGGUUAGGUUAGGUUAGGAUAGUAGAUGUCAGAUAAGGUGAGGUAACGUUAGCAGAGAUUAGUUAAGUUAGGUUAUUGUGGAAGUAAGGUUAGGUUAGCAAAAGUUAGGUUAGGUUAGGAUAGUAGAUGUCAAAUAAGGUGAGGUAAGGUUAGGAGAGAUUAGUUAAGUUAGGUUAUAGUGGAAGUAUGGUUAGGUUAGGAUAGGU
Molecule: long non-coding RNA, 308 nt
Organism: Eriocheir sinensis (Chinese mitten crab)
Lineage: Eukaryota; Metazoa; Arthropoda; Malacostraca; Decapoda; Varunidae
Exons: 4
Source: RefSeq, a predicted model, not a curated record